Cyprinus carpio (common carp) is the source of this 1657-nucleotide long non-coding RNA. NCBI's taxonomy places the organism in Eukaryota, Metazoa, Chordata, Actinopteri, Cypriniformes, Cyprinidae. The record is from Ensembl.
AUGAUGCUUGAUCUGUGCCUAUUUCCAAAUAAUGCAGAGAUCCGUCUUCUUUACUGUGAAACACUAAAACAAUACAAACAUACACUCAGAACCAAAAAAGCACAAUACACCCAAAAACAACUCACAAUAAUUGAGAAGUCAGUGAACACAAACCAGUUCUGGAAUAAUUGGAACAAUCUGAAAAAAACUGAUCGUGAAGAAUUGGCAAUCCAAAAUGGAGAAAUAUGGGAAAGUCAUUUCCAAACAUUGUUUAAUAAAGUACAAACAGACACAAACUGUAAACAAAAUCAAACAAUCAACCAAUUGGGAAAACUAGAAUUAGCAAUCAAAGAUAACCAAAACCCAUUAGAUUUCACAAUAACUGAUAAAGAACUUAAGGUGGAGGUCAGGAGGGUUGACUAUGGAGAUGUUGUUUGCGUCUCUCUUUGGGAUGUUAAGGAACUGUGUGGAGAAGCAGCAUCCAUACCUGUGCAAGCGCUGCAGGUCUCUCUGGUGAACGUGAGGCCAGUGAAUGGAGAAACAUGGUCUUUUGAAACGAUCAGCUGGUUCAAGAGUAAAGUGCAGAACAAGACUCUUUAUGCCAGGCUUUACCCAGAAGAAGGAGAAGUUUUGGUUGAGCUCUUCAUGGAGAAGGGAAAGAUUGGUGCUAUGAGGUGAUGUCCCAGAACAAACCAGACAGCAGUCGUUACAGUGGGAGAAGUAUCUGAUCUCCUGUUACAGUCACAACAGAGAAUAAUGUUCAGUGAUCAGAAAACUCACAUGCUUUUGUCAUUCAUCAUUACAUCAUAACCUUAUACACACUUCACAAUAUCUACUGUAACUAUGCAGAUUUCAUAGUCUGGAGUAUUUGGUGUACAGUUUGUGAACACUGUACAUUUGUUACAAGAUAGAUUGUAUUACAGAAAAUAUUUGAUGAUGUUCGUCGCUGUGGAAUGUGUUCUUUUUGGUUUAGAUAAUUCAUAAUUAAAAAUAACCAGGAAUUGUAAAAUAGAAGCUUGUCUUGUUUCUAAGAAUUUUAGAGUUUACUUUGUGUGUUCUGUUGUUCUUUGGAAAAAUACUGAAAUAUGUACUGUUCUUUGUUUGUUAGUUAACUCUGGCUGGGCAAACUUUACUGUAAUUUUACUCUGGAGCACAUUAACACUUUUAAAACGCUUGACAUGAACGUGUAAAUAUGCACUUGAAGUGCUGAUUAAGAGACACUGUCUGUUCAUGAAGUGCUGAAAGAUCUUUUAAUGGCUUCUCUGUUCAGUGCCUGUUUAGAAAACCUGCAUAUUUGAUUUACGACACGUCGUCUUUUGCAGAUCUGCCAACAAAAACAUGCGUGUCUUUAAAAUAGUUCAAUACAAUUGCACCCUUGGCUACAGUUUUUGUAUACUUUUUUUUUUUUGUAUACAUAAUUUUUGUGUUACUCAUAGUAGUCUAUACACGUUACACACUGCUCUGUGCUGAGCAUUGUUGGGGAAGUUACUCAGAAAUCUAGUUACUAUUAAUAGUUAUUUUCAUGUUACUGUGAAGUGUAUCCUCACUGUUUUGCAAGGUUGUCAAUGUCCAGAACUGUCCCACUUGAAACACCCCACUACAAGAAGAUUUCACUCAUUGACCACACUUUUGCUCUCCUUUUUCCCUUUUUUUAUUAUGAAAGUUUGAUGCAGUGUUC